CAGUAGCCGCGGUAAAACGUAGGUGGCAAGCGUUGUCCGGAAUUAUUGGGCGUAAAGGGCUCGCAGGCGGUUUCUUAAGUCUGAUGUGAAAGCCCCCGGCUCAACCGGGGAGGGUCAUUGGAAACUGGGAAACUUGAGAGCAGAAGAGGAGAGUGGAAUUCCACGUGUAGCGGUGAAAUGCGUAGAGAUGUGGAGGAACACCAGUGGCGAAGGCGACUCUCUGGUCUGUAACUGACGCUGAGGAGCGAAAGCGUGGGGAGCGAACAGGAUUAGAUACCCCAGUAGUCCCUGUCUCUUAUAC
Molecule: ribosomal RNA, 301 nt
Filed under: uncultured bacterium
Lineage: Bacteria
Description: partial 16S ribosomal RNA
Rfam family: Bacterial small subunit ribosomal RNA
Source: RNAcentral